GACGAACGCUGGCGGCGUGCCUAAUACAUGCAAGUAGAACGCUGAAGAGAGGAGCUUGCUCUUCUUGGAUGAGUUGCGAACGGGUGAGUAACGCGUAGGUAACCUGCCUUGUAGCGGGGGAUAACUAUUGGAAACGAUAGCUAAUACCGCAUAACAAUGGAUGACACAUGUCAUUUAUUUGAAAGGGCAAUUGCUCCACUACAAGAUGGACCUGCGUUGUAUUAGCUAGUAGGUGAGGUAACGGCUCACCUAGGCGACGAUACAUAGCCGACCUGAGAGGGUGAUCGGCCACACUGGGACUGAGACACGGCCCAGACUCCUACGGGAGGCAGCAGUAGGGAAUCUUCGGCAAUGGGGGCAACCCUGACCGAGCAACGCCGCGUGAGUGAAGAAGGUUUUCGGAUCGUAAAGCUCUGUUGUAAGUCAAGAACGAGUGUGAGAGUGGAAAGUUCACACUGUGACGGUAGCUUACCAGAAAGGGACGGCUAACUACGUGCCAGCAGCCGCGGUAAUACGUAGGUCCCGAGCGUUGUCCGGAUUUAUUGGGCGUAAAGCGAGCGCAGGCGGUUUGAUAAGUCUGAAGUUAAAGGCUGUGGCUCAACCAUAGUUCGCUUUGGAAACUGUCAAACUUGAGUGCAGAAGGGGAGAGUGGAAUUCCAUGUGUAGCGGUGAAAUGCGUAGAUAUAUGGAGGAACACCGGUGGCGAAAGCGGCUCUCUGGUCUGUAACUGACGCUGAGGCUCGAAAGCGUGGGGAGCGAACAGGAUUAGAUACCCUGGUAGUCCACGCCGUAAACGAUGAGUGCUAGGUGUUGGAUCCUUUCCGGGAUUCAGUGCCGCAGCUAACGCAUUAAGCACUCCGCCUGGGGAGUACGACCGCAAGGUUGAAACUCAAAGGAAUUGACGGGGGCCCGCACAAGCGGUGGAGCAUGUGGUUUAAUUCGAAGCAACGCGAAGAACCUUACCAGGUCUUGACAUCCCGAUGCUAUUUCUAGAGAUAGAAAGUUACUUCGGUACAUCGGUGACAGGUGGUGCAUGGUUGUCGUCAGCUCGUGUCGUGAGAUGUUGGGUUAAGUCCCGCAACGAGCGCAACCCCUAUUGUUAGUUGCCAUCAUUCAGUUGGGCACUCUAGCGAGACUGCCGGUAAUAAACCGGAGGAAGGUGGGGAUGACGUCAAAUCAUCAUGCCCCUUAUGACCUGGGCUACACACGUGCUACAAUGGUUGGUACAACGAGUUGCGAGUCGGUGACGGCAAGCUAAUCUCUUAAAGCCAGUCUCAGUUCGGAUUGUAGGCUGCAACUCGCCUACAUGAAGUCGGAAUCGCUAGUAAUCGCGGAUCAGCGCGCCGCGGUGAAUACGUUCCCGGGCCU
RNAcentral lists this ribosomal RNA (1368 nucleotides) under uncultured bacterium. RNAcentral describes it as "bacterial SSU rRNA". It matches the Rfam family "Bacterial small subunit ribosomal RNA", at positions 28 to 1381 of the family's 1533-position model. The record is from RNAcentral.